RNAcentral lists this long non-coding RNA (288 nucleotides) under Capsella rubella. RNAcentral describes it as "long non-coding RNA (CRUB_LNC003167)". The record is from RNAcentral. Lineage: Eukaryota; Viridiplantae; Streptophyta; Magnoliopsida; Brassicales; Brassicaceae.
CCAUCUCCUCUAAAUUCAAAGAAUACCAAUCGUCUCAAUCGUAUUGGCGCCAAAAAAAUCAUUUGAUUCAAGGUGAAUCGAAGGCUUUUAAAGGAUUUGGUUAUAAUCGCAUAGGUUUCGCCGGUUGUCAAAAUAGACAAUUUAUUAUGAUAAUUAUUCUUUUCUUUUUUUUUCUAUCGUCUUUAAAUUUAUUAAUUAUUACAAAUUGUGAGAAUUGUUACAAAGAUAAUCUACCAUGGGCAAUUCCUUCCGACAAUAUUAGAUUCACUAUUGACAACACUCCUUUGC